AUGAUUGAACUGCCCGAUGCAAAGGAUGUGAAGCUCAACUUGAAGCCUGAUGGCCAUUUAAAUUUCUCAUCAAAGGACCCUGCUAAUGAUAUGCAGUAUGAGCUUGACCUUGAGCUCUUUGAUGAUGUCAGUGUUGAGGAGAGCCAAGCCGCUAUUUCCCUAAGGACUAUAUGCUACCUUGUCAAGAAAGCUGAGGGCAAGUGGUGGCCUAGGAUGCUCAAGAAGGAAGCCAAGCCACCUGUGUUCCUCAAGGUUGACUGGGAUAAAUGGCAAUAUGAGGAUGAUGAAGACACUGGAUUUGGUGACUUUGGUGAUAUGAACUGCUUGAAGCUAGACAUGGGAGGUGGUGAUGAUGAUGAUAAUGAUGAGAUUUUGGAGGAUGAUGAAGACAAUAUGGUUGACAGUGCUAACAAAGGUACCUUAUGA
RNAcentral lists this ribosomal RNA (426 nucleotides) under Triticum aestivum (bread wheat). RNAcentral's name for it is "partial small subunit ribosomal RNA". The record is from RNAcentral. Lineage: Eukaryota; Viridiplantae; Streptophyta; Magnoliopsida; Poales; Poaceae.